This 421-nucleotide ribosomal RNA is filed under the name Fusobacteriota bacterium. RNAcentral's name for it is "Fusobacteria bacterium partial 16S ribosomal RNA". It matches the Rfam family "Bacterial small subunit ribosomal RNA", at positions 355 to 776 of the family's 1533-position model. Lineage: Bacteria; Fusobacteriati; Fusobacteriota. The record is from RNAcentral.
UGGGGGAUAUUGCACAAUGGACGGAAGUUUGAUGCAGCGACGCCGCGUGGAGGGUGUAGGCCUUCGGGUUGUGAACUCCUUUUUCUCGCGAAAAAGGCACAGUUUUGGCUGUGUUGAUGGUAGUGGGGGAAGAAGCGCCGGCUAACUACGUGCCAGCAGCCGCGGUAAUACGUAGGGCGCGAGCGUUGUCCGGAUUUAUUGGGCGUAAAGAGCUCGUAGGUGGUUCGUCGCGUCUGUCGUGAAAGCCAGCAGCUUAACUGUUGGUCUGCGGUGGGUACGGGCGGGCUUGAGUGCGGUAGGGGUGACUGGAAUUCCUGGUGUAGCGGUGGAAUGCGCAGAUAUCAGGAGGAACACCGAUGGCGAAGGCAGGUCACUGGGCCGUUACUGACACUGAGGGGCGAAAGCGUGGGGAGCGAACAGG